UAUAUGUGGUACUUCAUAGCUUCAUCCAACCUACAGGUUUUGUGGAUCGGAAAGCAAAGGAUGGGGAGCAACCAUUCUCCUCAUCUCUACAAAAUCCAACCACCAUACAGAGAGUGCUAACACUCCUCUCCCUCCACGGUUAUCUCAUCUUCUUGCCAACUCAAGCUCGGUGAAGAGAAUUACAGGUCACCUCUGUUGGUGCCUUUCAUAUUAAUUAUCCCUAGGUUUUUAAGAAAAAGGAGUUUUGAGGCAAGGCCAACUGUAGAAGGAAUCUAAUAGGUUCGUGGAUGAUGAAUUCAGUACCAAAUUAGGUUGCUCAUUGUAUGGCUUCGCCGAACUCCCCCUCCCUUUAGUGUAAAAAUAUUGAUGUACUCCAAAAAAAAAAAGGGAUGAAUAUCAUUUUGUAUGUUGCAGGAUAAUUAUGUUCGUCCACUAAUUGGUGUAACCAAUUGGCCCCAAUUCCUUAAUUCAAUACGCCAUUUAUUGAUUC
Long non-coding RNA from Malus domestica (apple), 490 nucleotides. RefSeq lists it as uncharacterized. The record is from RefSeq and is a predicted model, not a curated record. NCBI's taxonomy places the organism in Eukaryota, Viridiplantae, Streptophyta, Magnoliopsida, Rosales, Rosaceae.